This 497-nucleotide ribosomal RNA is filed under the name uncultured bacterium. RNAcentral describes it as "partial 16S ribosomal RNA". It matches the Rfam family "Bacterial small subunit ribosomal RNA", at positions 28 to 507 of the family's 1533-position model. The record is from RNAcentral.
GACGAACGCUGGCGGCGUGCCUAAUACAUGCAAGUUGAGCGCUGAAGGUUGGUACUUGUACCAACUGGAUGAGCAGCGAACGGGUGAGUAACGCGUGGGGAAUCUGCCUUUGAGCGGGGGACAACAUUUGGAAACGAAUGCUAAUACCGCAUAAAAACUUUAAACACAAGUUUUAAGUUUGAAAGAUGCAAUUGCAUCACUCAAAGAUGAUCCCGCGUUGUAUUAGCUAGUUGGUGAGGUGAAGGCUCACCAAGGCGAUGAUACAUAGCCGACCUGAGAGGGUGAUCGGCCACAUUGGGACUGAGACACGGCCCAAACUCCUACGGGAGGCAGCAGUAGGGAAUCUUCGGCAAUGGACGAAAGUCUGACCGAGCAACGCCGCGUGAGGGAAGAAGGGUUUCGGAUCGUAAAACUCUGUUGGUAGAGAAGAACGUUGGUGAGAGUGGAAAGCUCAUCAAGUGACGGUAACUACCCAGAAAGGGACGGCUAACUACGUG